GUUGAUCCAUCCUUCCUCCAGGAGGCCUCGGUUGGUCUUCCUCGACUUAAAGUAGCGCAAGUCCUGCAUGUCCGUGAGACAACGUAUCAUCAGGCACUCAUGUUGGGACUGAGGCGGACGCUCCACCACCCUUCGAAAAGUGAUUGCGUGGCGCUUGCUACAUCAGCUGUCUGCAGUGUGCGGCCCUCAGUGGAAAAAGUUUGGACACCCCUGGUGUACAUGUACAACGUUGUCUGGAAUGAAAUACAAAUGUGGGCAUUUUCCAUACCAUUCUAGCACAUUCUAAUUUGGGUCAGCAAUAAAUGACUAUACCC
This is a long non-coding RNA of Entelurus aequoreus (snake pipefish), 314 nucleotides long. RefSeq lists it as uncharacterized. Lineage: Eukaryota; Metazoa; Chordata; Actinopteri; Syngnathiformes; Syngnathidae. The record is from RefSeq and is a predicted model, not a curated record. The transcript is spliced from 3 exons.